Non-coding RNA from Pelobates cultripes (western spadefoot toad), 335 nucleotides. Lineage: Eukaryota; Metazoa; Chordata; Amphibia; Anura; Pelobatidae. The record is from the annotation of a GenBank genome assembly.
CUUUGUUUAAUAUCUCAAACAGCAAACGUGUUCUCCAGAAUAAAUAUAUGUUGCAGCCCUGUUAGUCUGUGUAAAGCAGUCAGAACUAGCACAGGUGCCUGGGAAUACACUGACGGAUCUGCUGUCACCAGAAAACACCUAAUAUAUUGAAUUAUUAGAAUUAUUUCUAUUUGACAUUACAUGCCACUGGCAAGGACUCCUUGGAUUACUCUUUUUGGUUUUUUAUUUUUUUAUUUUCUGAAAAGCAGAGAACUCUGAUCGCAUUUAUUGGGCUCAAUAAUAAUUUACUGCAGCGAAAACCAUGGACUGGAUUUUGUGAUUUAAAUAUGGAUGUG